AGUGAACGCUGGCGGUAGGCCUAACACAUGCAAGUCGAACGGCAGCACAGUAAGAGCUUGCUCUUACGGGUGGCGAGUGGCGGACGGGUGAGGAAUACAUCGGAAUCUACUUUUUCGUGGGGGAUAAUGUAGGGAAACUUACGCUAAUACCGCAUACGACCUACGGGUGAAAGCAGGGGAUCUUCGGACCUUGCGCGAUUGAAUGAGCCGAUGUCGGAUUAGCUAGUUGGCGGGGUAAAGGCCCACCAAGGCGACGAUCCGUAGCUGGUCUGAGAGGAUGAUCAGCCACACUGGAACUGAGACACGGUCCAGACUCCUACGGGAGGCGGCAGUGGGGAAUAUUGGACAAUGGGCGCAAGCCUGAUCCAGCCAUACCGCGUGGGUGAAGAAGGCCUUCGGGUUGUAAAGCCCCUUUGUUGGGAAAGAAAAGCAGCAGGUUAAUACCCCGCUGUUCUGACGGUACCCAAAGAAUAAGCACCGGCUAACUUCGUG
This 492-nucleotide ribosomal RNA is filed under the name uncultured bacterium. RNAcentral's name for it is "partial 16S ribosomal RNA". It matches the Rfam family "Bacterial small subunit ribosomal RNA", at positions 29 to 507 of the family's 1533-position model. The record is from RNAcentral.